GCCCUUCAGAGACCGCUCCAGCACCCUGAGUGAGAAGAAGCCUGCCCUGCCCGUCAUCAGAGACAAGUACAAGGACCUGACUGGGGAGGUGGAGGAGAGUGAGCGCUAUGCAUAUGAGUGGCAGAGGUGUCUGGAGAGUGCUGUACAGGUAAUCAACACCGGCGAGGUGCAACAGCCGGGCUCCCCACCGCACACCUCACACCUUGGGCUGCGAAUACAGAGAUCACAGAGAGACCUCAGAAGUCACUGGAAUCAUCUUUAUUUAUUUGCCUUUUAUUCUCUCUCUUUCUCUCUCAGAGGUACUCUGUGCUCUUUGCAGCGGUGAAGAAGUGCAAAUCUGCUAGUUUGUACAAAUUCAAGGCUUGACACAGUAAAGACUAUUCUGUAUCAUAAUGUAUUGUAAAAUUAUACUUUAUAAAUGGUGUCAUUUUCUCAUUUUUCCUUCUUUUUUUUCCAUUGUCUGGUCUCAUAUACAGUAUAAUGCAAUAGAAGUUACAAGUUGGCAUUUUAGCAUUGAUGCUUAUGCGACUUCUCUGGCAGGAUUUAUUUUGGCAAACAUUAUUCAGAUAAUGAACCAAUGUUGUGCUACGGUAACCCAGAGGAGGUCUAGUCCCUAUGUCAGAGCAGGGGAAAAUGUGGACACUUAUAUGAAUGGGGUAAUGGGUCUCAACGUUUUCUGUAAUGCACUCUUUCUGUGACUCAACAAGUCCAUAACAAACUAUUAAAACUGUGCAAUAUACUACUAAUGAAGGAACUUGGAGACAAACUGAAGUGUAAAGUUAUCUGUCGUUUCCCUUGAUUGUCACUUGUUGCUUUGUUACUGUUUAAUGCUUGAGGGACUGUGUUGGUGUUUCGGUCUUAAAGUAGUAUUUUGUCCUUUGUUCUUCUCGAGUCGGGGUUGUGGUAUCAUCACACUGCUGGAACUGAAUCAAUUUUACGGUCGGGUCUCUAAAAGGAUAGUCUAUGGUUGCUAACAUUUUAAUUCAUAUUUAACUUUUUAGGUAUUGUGUGACAUUAACUGCUUUUUAAUGUCUUUGUAUUGUUUGAAAAGGAUUGCUUUAUCUAAAUGAAUGUUAAUGUGCUGUUUGAAUUUUUUUGUGACAUUGGGACUUGAAAGGGAGUCUUAAUUCUUAAAGAUUGUUGGCUGUGGGUUUUGUUUUUCUGUCUUGCUGUGCCAGUGUAUAUAUACUCACACUGAUGGGGAUGUUUUGGCAGAUCUAAGUCUUGAAUGAAGUCAACUAUGAUUAUGGACUACUAUUGCAGCAGCACUUUGUGUGGAUUACAGUAUCAUAGUGUUGUAAUUACAAUGACUAACUGUAAUGUGAAGUGAUGACAUAUACAUAAAUAAUACAUUGAUGCAUAAAUUAAAUACAUUUCAUGGUCAUUAAUCAAUUAAUCAAUGAAUGUAUUACCUGGAAGCCUAUUACCAUACACAUUAAUUAAGAGUAUUGUACAAUUCUGCUGAAUUUGGUUUUGUUUUCAAUAUUUUCUGAAUAUAAUCAAGGUUGGUUUGAAUGUCAACAUGAAUCCUGAAGGCAUUCUAUUGUCUCAAUAGCACGAGUCGUUUAAUCUGGAUGACAUCUGUAACAAAGUCAGGUUCAGAGUCUAAUGCAGCAAUAUCAUAUUAGCACUACUUCUCCUAAAAUGCCAAAUGGUUUGAGAUUGUCACGUCUUUCAUUUUUCACUCAAUAACAUGUUAUUUCUCAGACCAGGGAGGUUUCAUCUCUAUCACUUUGUGACCAAAUGAAAUACAUUAACCUCAGACAAGCCUGCUGGGCCAUCGCUGGAGGACGGAGAGCUAAGACAAUCAAAUGAAAAACAUGCCUGUAGUGGCACCAUGCAUGGAACCAGUCUCAUUAUCAUUCUGUCUCGUGUGUACAGGACAGGUGUGUGUGUUCUCCAACAUACAUUUUUAUCUCUCACCAUUCCCUAAUUGAACAUCCUGCUGAAAAUGAAUUCCUCUCUCCGUCUUCUCACCGUGAGCUGCCAGAUUACUGAAAAUUACAAAUGCUCAAAUUACUGAAUAAUAAGGCUUUGUAAAUUUGAAAUUCAGACCCACCCGUCUGUCCCCAUGUCCUGUCUUCUUCAUGCCUAGUAUUGUCUGCAGGGCUGUGCCUCGUAGGAUCACCUGAGGAGAAUGGGUCUGGAGAGAUGGGAGUGCUACCCUACUGUAUUGACUGCUAUUCUUCAGCCACAGGCUCUUUCAGAUUUUCUGCCCAUUGUCAGUUACAGUAUUGAUUAAAGGCAGAUUUUUUUGCUCACCUG
This 2265-nucleotide long non-coding RNA is filed under the name Salmo salar (Atlantic salmon). RNAcentral describes it as "lncRNA (ENSSSAG00000082150.1, ENSSSAG00000085360.1)". The record is from RNAcentral. Lineage: Eukaryota; Metazoa; Chordata; Actinopteri; Salmoniformes; Salmonidae.